RNAcentral lists this ribosomal RNA (389 nucleotides) under uncultured bacterium. RNAcentral describes it as "bacterial SSU rRNA". It matches the Rfam family "Bacterial small subunit ribosomal RNA", at positions 28 to 417 of the family's 1533-position model. The record is from RNAcentral.
GACGAACGCUGGCGGCGUGCUUAACACAUGCAAGUCGAGCGGUAAGGCCCUUUCGGGGGUACACGAGCGGCGAACGGGUGAGUAACACGUGGGUGACCUGCCCUCAGCUCUGGGAUAAGCCUGGGAAACCGGGUCUAAUACUGGAUAUGACUCCAUGACGCAUGUUGUGGGGUGGAAAGCCUUGUGCGGCUGAGGAUGGGCCCGCGGCCUAUCAGCUUGUUGGUGGGGUGANGGCCUACCAAGGCGACGACGGGUAGCCGGCCUGAGAGGGCGACCGGCCACACUGGGACUGAGACACGGGCCCAGACUCCUACGGGAGGCAGCAGUGGGGAAUCUCGCGCAAUGGGCGAAAGCCUGACGCAGCGACGCCGCGUGAGGGAUGACGGCCU